UGUUUUGUGGUGUUUGACCUGUGCCUG
This 27-nucleotide non-coding RNA is filed under the name Mus musculus (house mouse). Lineage: Eukaryota; Metazoa; Chordata; Mammalia; Rodentia; Muridae. The record is from RNAcentral.